CACGUAGGAUUCGAACGUUAUCCGGAUUUACUGGGCGUAAAGCGCGUGCAGGCGGUUUGGUAAGUUGGAUGUGAAAUCAUCAGGCUCAACCUGGUGAUGUCGUUCAAUACUGCCAGACUAGAGGACGGUAGAGGGAGGUGGAAUUCCGGGUGUAGUGGUGAAAUGCGUAGAUAUCCGGAGGAACACCAGUGGCGAAGGCGGCCUCCUGGGCCGUUCCUGACGCUCAGACGCGAAAGCUAGGGUAG
This 245-nucleotide ribosomal RNA is filed under the name uncultured Bellilinea sp. RNAcentral describes it as "partial 16S ribosomal RNA". It matches the Rfam family "Bacterial small subunit ribosomal RNA", at positions 524 to 768 of the family's 1533-position model. Lineage: Bacteria; Bacillati; Chloroflexota; Anaerolineae; Anaerolineales; Anaerolineaceae. The record is from RNAcentral.